Molecule: ribosomal RNA, 532 nt
Filed under: uncultured bacterium
Lineage: Bacteria
Description: bacterial SSU rRNA
Rfam family: Bacterial small subunit ribosomal RNA
Source: RNAcentral
AAUAGAUACCCCGGUAGUCCACGCCGUAAACGAUGGAUACUAGCUGUUGGAGGUAUCGACCCCUUCAGUAGCGAAGCUAACGCGUUAAGUAUCCCGCCUGUGGAGUACGGUCGCAAGACUAAAACAUAAAGGAAUUGACGGGGACCCGCACAAGCGGUGGAUCGUGUUCUUUAAUUCGAUGCUAAACGAAGAACCUUACCAGGGUUUGACAUCCCUUGAAUUAAUCCGAAAGGAUUGAGUGCUUUAUUGAACAAGGUGACAGGUGAUGCAUGGCCGUCGUCAGCUCGUGUCGUGAGAUGUUUGGUUAAGUCCAUCAACGAGCGCAACCCUUGCAAGUAGUUGUAUUUUUCUACUUGGACUGCCCCGGUAACGGGAGGAAGGAGGGGAUGAUGUCAGGUCAGUAUUCCCUUAGAUCCUGGGCUAGAAACACGAUACAAUGGCUAGUACAAUGCGCAGCGAAGCCGCGAGGUGAAGCAAAUCGCAUCAAAGCUAGUCCCAGUUCGGAUUGGAGCUGAACUCGCUCAUGAAUCGG